AGAAUAGGAAGUUGUUUAUUAUUAUUAUCAUACCGCGGUCUUAACGAGCUCAUCAGCAUAGGAACCAGCUCUGAUUGUGAGGCCUGAUGGGGUGGUGGGGUUGCAUCUCACAACUGAUGCAGCAGAAGGUUGGCGAAGUGUUUGUCCCUUCACCCACUCAGACUUGUCAAGAACAAGUGAAGACUUGAGAAGAGAUGCUGAUGCAGAGGCCAUUGUUCACUGCAGGUGUUAGGCACUUAGCACUACUUCAAUAUCUUAUCUCCUACAGCAACCUUUGUAGUUGUAUGCACCUCUUUACUACACAUUCACAGCUUUCACUUCAUUUAUAGUUCUCAAGUGAUGUCUCGUUUGAGGCUGCUGUGAGCUAACCUAUCCUCACUUGACAUGUGGACGAUGAUAACUUCAGCCUUCUUCCUUCCUUCCCAUUCUCCUUUGCCAUUUAUUUCGUGGUUCAAAUGGAUGGAUUUUUUCAAGCCUCGUAAAAAUUACUUGGAAAAUAGAAAAAAAUAAAACAGAGAUAUUUUUUUUCCCAAGUCGUGACAAAUGUAUUACAUGCACCAAAAAGGGUACCAAUUAUUGUUGUCUGUAGAGGGAAGGAAACGAUCAAAGAAGUAUGAGGUUAUAAUUUACAUUGCUGAUUAACUGUUUUGUCUCCUUGUUACUGAUUUAUGGUCUUGGUUCAAUGAUAAGAUGUUGUCAAAAGUGGAUGAACAAUCAGUAUGACCAAUUUAUUCAGAGGGUACUUUAAGCUUCCUUGUUAAAUUCUAUUUAGCGUAUUAUUUAUGUUUCGUAUUUCUUAACAGUGUAAUACAUUGAUCUUUCCCUUUCUCAUGAAUUUAUGAGAAUACCAUGAUAUAGGAAUCAAAUUAAAUUGAUUGAAUAACACCUGCUGUUGCUUGAAUUUUGCAUCCACUAAGUGGGAUAUUAAGCACACGCUUUAUGUUUUGUGCAGCUCAACCUAUCACCUAUAAUAUGAAGCGAAACUGGAUCUAGGAACCGUUGAAAGAAAAAAUUAAUCAGGGUCAUCUAUAGUUUUGACUUUUGAUGCAUUCACAUUGUGCUUGAGAAGGAGACUAGGGUCAUCUGUUACUUCAUUGAUUUGUUUCAUUUUGUCUUUCAAAUGAUGAGCAUUCCCAAUUGCCUUAUAAAUCUUGAUGUCACCCAUUUAGAGAAGAAUGUUGUUAACUAGUGCCCUAAUGAUAUUAAUUAAAAAAUUACAAAUAGAAAGUUUUUAUUGGCAUUUAUAUUAGAAAUGCAUUGGAAAUCAUAACAAAUAUGCAUUGAUGAUUUUUUUUUAAUGAAAAUUUCUCAUUUUUUACUGCUUAUCGGCACUUGUUACCAUUUGUCUUUAGAGAAAUAAAUAAUCGGUCAAAAUUGAACUUACAAAUUUACAAUCCUUACAAGUCAACGCAUCUAUAACUUACUUUACACUAAUAUCAGAACUACUUUUGUUUCACAUGUCUUUUCCUGUACUUCCAUAACUCAUCCUUUUUUCUCUUCGGUUUCACAACGCCCAUCUUAUUUCUAACUACACCAAUCAUGGAUCUCCUAUCCUUUCUGUUUUUAAUUGCAGCUUUAGCAUCCAGAACUGCCCGAAGCUUCUGGUAUGAAUCGACAUCCAUCACCUGCCCACUCUUGACCAUCUCCUGGUGAUAAAAAAAUGCCUGGCUAAAAUCUCGAACACGGAGAAAUGCAUAUAUCAUAGUUGAAUAAGUUACAGAAUCUGGCUUCAAGUUAUGAGCUGCCAUCUCUUCCAACAACUCUGGCAGCUUUGAGUGUCGCCCUCCUCGUGCAUAUGCAUUCAUCAGCAUAUUGUAUGUCAUCACUGUUGGGUGCAAUCCAACAUUUGCAAAUUUAGAUAUUACAUCUCUUGCUUCCUUGUAGUAACCAUGUUUAGCAAAACCAUCAACAAGAGUGUUGAAUGUGACACGUGUUCCUUCAACUUUUUCCCUCCUCAUCAACUUCCAUAUUUUCAUCAAUGUUUGGGUGUCACCGGCACGUCUAAAUGCAUCUAGUAAAGCAGUGUAGGUUUCUAUGGAAGGUUUAAUGCCUUCCCUUUGCAUGUUUUCAAAUGCUGCAUAAGCUUUCUCAUGCCAGCCACUAACUGAAUAUGCAUGGAUCAGAGCUGUAUAAGAAUGUGAAGUGGGUUUAAUACCGUCUUUCUUCAUCUUCAAGAAUGCAUCUGCAGCCAUGUCACUCAUAUUUUUCUGCUUCCCAUAUGCACUGAUUAUACAAGUAUAUGAUUUGGCAUUUGGCUUCAAGCCAGUUUCCUGCAUUUCAGCCAUCAGCUUCUCUACAAUCUCAGGUUGCAUUUUUCUGCUGUAUGCAUACAUUAGAAUGUUGAAUGUAGCUUCAGUGGGCUUAAUCCCUUUAGUUUUCAUCUCAACAAAGAGGCCUUCAGCUUCUUCUACACGGUUGGAUUUACAAUAUGCAUCCAUCAGGGUGUUGUACACAAUUGUAUUUGAAGAAACCCCUUUCUUCUCCAGUUCAGAUAGGAUGAUGAGAGCUUCACUCAUCAAACCCUCAACACAAAAUGACUUUAUUAGUGCACCUAGGACUUCUUCACCCCAUUUGACUCCUUUUCCAUUCAUUUUCUCAAAAAAUUGCCAUGCAUCCUUUGCACUAUGGCCAAGUUUUCUCAUAACGAUAACCAUAAUAGAACAUGUCACAUGAUCUGGAAGAACAUUAUCUGCUUCCAUUGACUCAUACACCUUCCAAGCAUCUUCAUACCUAAAACAAUGAGGUAGACUUCAACAAUAAACUCUUAAAAUAUGUGGUAUAUCAGGAGAGGGGGCGGGGGGUGGGAUGCUGCCCUAAAACAUUUGUCAGAGUAGGGAGAGAUGAAAUAUCUUUUGUUUUUCAACACUGUUUGCUAUACAAGAAUUAAAUAUGUUAAUUUCACAGUUUUUAAGUUUGGAAGCAGCACAGGGAACCAAUACAGCUGAGGUAACUUGAAAUAUCUUAAUUCUCUGACAAGUAGCCAAGGAAAUUUCAUAGAUUGUAUAGUUGUUCAUAGGCUUCUUAAUAACAAACUAACCAAGAAACCUAGUACAAAACAAGCCCAAGAGGUUAAAUAAAGGACUCCAUCCAUCUGCCAUAAUGGAAAAACUGAACUAGCAUGAAAAGACUUCAUGGCAAAACUGAUGUACGUACUAGUACACUUAAUGUUCAUGUCAUAACAUUGUCUGGUUUAAUGUCAACAUUGAUCAGAAUUCUCGGUAAAAGAUGAUGCAAUAUGUCAUUUCCAGUGUUUUAGACAUAUACUAAUUAAGAAUGGGCAUGCUUUAUACCACUGCUUGGAUAACAAGCCUAUAGGCUAUAGCACAUUGGUCAUUUCUUUACUUUCCAUGAUAAUUAGAAGAAUUAUAACAGUGAAACAAGUGAACUAGUGUAUUAUUUAAUUAAAUGUGUAACAUUCUAUUCCUAUCUAAGCAAAAGUAACAAACUACUACUUGACUUGCAUUUUAAGCAGCUGAGAGAAAAAAAGCAAAGCACCACACAUGAUUUUGCAAGAAUAUAUUUUACCUGGCACUAGAAAGAAGGCCUGAAAUUGCAGCAUUAUAAACAUGAGAAUCUCUAAACUCCCUGCUAGAUGGCAAGUUUGUGAACAAAACCAUCAACUUAUCACCCAUCUUUGCUUUCCCCAACAAAGGAAACAACACAGUGCAAGCCCGAGGAGUAACAAGUGACGGUUCCUGCGACCUCAUCCACUGAAAGAAAUACAAACAACACACCAGAAGUUGCUCAUCCCCAAGUAAUUUCAAAACCUCCCAACACUCUUUCUCACUAACCCUUCUUCCUUCAUACUCAGCCAAAGCCUCCUCCAGAGUUAGAUUUUGUGGCAAGUUCCUUGCAAGCUGAACAAUCUCUCCCACAAUGCCCUCAGGCAAAGGCAAAGCCUUCUUCUGAAACACCGUUUUUUCCUUCUCUUCAAUCAAACCCAUUUCAGGUUCUUCUUCUUCUUCAAUAAGGUCAGAAGCAAGGUGCCAUGAAAUGCGACGGUUCUUCUGAAGGGACAAUUUUCCUUCUUUUCCAGGGUCUUGGGAAGAAAACCGAGUGCGGGUUUUGAAGAAUUUGUAGAUUGGAUCAUCUGGGUCAUACUCUUGUUCUUCUACUAUUGUUUCUAUGCCCUCUCCUUGUUCAUGAUUUUCUGGUUCUAGUUGUCGGAGAUAUGGGAGGAAAAUGGGGGUGUUGGAUGGUGAUGCACAAAGACAUAGGGUUUUGGAGACUGAGAAGGUUGAGGUUUUGGAGUGUGUGAGAGAGAAAGGUUUUGAAAGUGUAUGAAAGUGAAUUUGGUGUGAAAUGAAAGGGUGAUGAAAGUAAGAAGAAGGUGUGAGGUUGAGAGCCAUGGUUGGCUUGGUUUUGCAAGUUCAAGUGCAAAGGUUAUCUUGUUCUUUAACGUCGUUUUUGACCCGGUGGGUUUUGAGACCCGGACCGGUUCACUUAUUAUUACUUAUUAGUAUUUAGUAUCAUUUUUUAUUAAAACAACGUCGUUUUUGGCUAAAGGGACGCGGAUUCGAAACACCAGUCUCAUCCUUCAACCCUAGUACCGUGGAGCCACCCUUUGUCCACCGUGGUCGUCGUUGAAGGAGGUCGUCAACCGCAAGUUGCAGCCGCACCAGGUUGGCCUCACCACUGAGAGAAACAAAUUUAAUUGUUAUAUGAAAUUGUUCACACUUGAUUCCUCUGUUGCUUAGGUUGCUCUAAAUUAUUUACUACUUCUUUUGAAUCCUCUGUUGCUUAGUUGUGCAGAAUCAGGAAUCAUUGCUGUGCUUGUGAACACUAUUUUUUUUAUUCGUUUUCUUUUACUGCCAAACUUGAACCUCAUUUUUGGUCCUUGGUGGUGCUUCCAAGUCAUUCAUAAAUGGCAUGAAAGAUUUGAGUGGCAUUUGGCCAUUUUAUUAUUUGUGUUUCAAAUGACGCUUUAAUCUUAAUUUCUUGAUCUAAUAAUACAAGUUGAGAAAUUGUGCUUUUGUGGAUUUCAAAAAUGAGAUUGUGGCAUCUCAACUGUCAAGCACAACGGCAACUAAAUGGGUAUUAUAAAUUGAAUCAUUUGCAUACUUUUCUUUUUUCUUUUUAAUUUCAAAUAUUGUAAUAAUUUGGCUUCAUAUUCUAAUAGAUAGCCUUGGUUUAUAGUAUUAUUGUUUGGCUUUUACAUUGAAGUAAUCUGUUCUGAUAUGUUUUUUAAUGGGUUCCUUAUGUUGCAACACUAUAUAGAAAAUACAUAUAAAUAAAUAAAGCAUCUUCAAUUCUAUAUUGACAUGUGCCUUGGAUCAUGCGCCUUUUUUUUGCAUUUUGUUUUUCAAAAACAACACUCAUCUUCUUCCCUCUAAAUUCCUCAUAAAGGUGCAAAACAAAACGUCAUCAGCUUUGGAAACCCUAGCGUGAGGCAACAUCAAGUGUAGCAAUGGUUGAUGUCCAUAAGUUGAUUUGCCAAACCUGUAACAACGUGGGUGUUGGUGAUGGUUCUGAUGGCUUUUUCUACUGCCUUCGCUGUGGUUCUCAAUGCGAGGAUGUGAUGGACACCGCUGUUGAUGACGAUGAUCUCUUCAACAAGAGUGCUGUCUACUUGCCUAGUCACCAACGCCAGCGAUCUGUUGCAAUCAAAGCCGAGCCCAUCUCUCAGUAUGACUCCUUUUACGAUUCCCACUCCAAUUUCAUUAGGAAUCUGGGUUUAGAAGAUGAAAAUCCUCAACGAAAUGAUCAUGUUCAAGUUAAAAGAGAGGAGGAAUUUGACGCUGCCCAGUUUGAUGAGGCAAGUCCUUCUGUUCCUGCUGAUUUUGGUGGCUCCCAAGUUGCAUGCUUUGAAGACUACCACAAUGAGAUAAGGAUGCGGUAUGUGAUGGGGUUGCAGAUGAUGAUUGAGCUUCAGUGUGAAGCGCUGGUGAAGGAGUUUAAGGUGACCCCUUUAAUUUGUGGCUUGGUUGGCCCAAUUUGGUUGAGGUUUGUCUCCAAGACUGGCAUUUUCGGUGAUGACUGGGCUGAUAAAGUAAUCCAUGACUCUGAAACGCAGAAUGAAGGUAAAAUGAUGUUUUAUCUCUUAUAUUUCUACAUUUAAAUUACAAUACAUGUACCCUUUUUUGUUGCAUGGUUUGGUUCUUUAUGUUCCAGUCAAUUUCUCAAUGUACUUGUCAAUGCUUAUUUGUGGUUCAGGAUUGACCAUAAAGUUCCAAUUCUUGCUUUAUUUGCUUGUGACAUAUUUGGGGCAUUACUUGUCUUGUUCAUCAAAGGUUCACUAAUGCUUUCUGUUUGUAUUAAAAGUUCACGAAACCUUAUAAUUAACUGAAAAAUUUACUCAUUAGCAUAUUGUAUAUGAUUAGUUGCAACUCAAUUUGGUUCAUUAAGCUUGGAUUUGACCCCUUAAUUAUCAAAUGUAUUGUAAUAGCAGCAAGAUAAGAGGAUUAGCUUGUUAAUGAAGUGUGUACUAUAGUUUUUCAACAGUUGGAAGAUACUUACCAUAUUUCCAUCAAGCCUAUCUAAUAGUUUAUUUCUGCAUUGUUCUCAGAUGAACCAGAAGAUUACAAGUUACGUGCUAAAUACAGAACAGAGCCCCACAAUAUGUUUGGCAAGCGAGCUGUCAUGAUAUGGUUUAGGUCUUUAAAGAAAAGGAUUCCACUACCUUGUACUGUUGCUGUUUCAUUUCUGGCAUGUCAUGUAGCCAGGGAAGCUGUCCUGCCAUCUGACAUGAUGAAGUGGACACUUGAAGGGAAGCUUCCAUAUUUUUCUGCUUUUGUUGAAAUUGAAAAGCGCAUGGGACAACCAACAAGUGCAUGUCCUAUUAGUUCAAGUGUUAUGUUCAGGCCCCAACAAGCUAUUCCAGUACAGAAGCUAGAGUCAUUUGCUGCAUCCAUUGCUCAGUUCAUAGGCUUGGAGUUACCUCCCGUGAACUUUUAUGCUAUAGCUUAUCUUUUUCUUCAAAAGUUAUCACUGCCUGUUGAAAAGAUUCUUCCUUAUGCAUGCCGCAUAUAUGAAUGGUCGAUGCCUCCUGAUUUGUGGUUAUCCUUAUCCAGUAAUUAUUUUAGGCUACCUACUCAUGUAUGCGUUAUGUCAAUUCUGGUAGUAGCAAUAAGGAUAUUGUAUAACAUAAAUGGCUUUGGAGAGUGGGAGAAGAGUUUGUCUCGUGAUGAUGAUGCCAAAGACAACAGUGAAAUGGGUAAUGCUUUUGCCUCUGAUAAUGGACAUGAUUUUGGUAAAGAAUCUAAAGAUUCAGCUGAAGAUCAAGUAGGAUCUCAGAAACACGAAUUGGAUUCUGCCUGGCUUCUCCAACAUCUUCAAGCAAGAUAUAAUGAGAUUGCAGAUACCUAUGGUGAAGUUUUUGUUUACUUAUAUUAUUAUAUUUAACCAAACCUAUGUUGCACGAGUUGAUAUUCUAUUUUCGUCCUAUUUUUUACAACAAUUAAAUGACUAUCUAACAUCCAGUAUUUAUGGACAGGGUAUUCAAAGGACUUGGCUACAUAUCUCAAAUACUGUAGGGAUGUUGUCUUUGCUGGAUCAGAACCAUCUUAUGGUAAUCACGAGGAAGAAAAAAUGAUAGAAUACCUAUGGAAAUUUUAUCAGAAUGAAGAGGUAAUUAAAGAAUUGAGCUAGUUAUUCUAUUGAUAUGCACAGGCCUUUAGAAUUAGGAUGUCUUGGAAUUACUUUCAAGUUUAAACUUCUUUUUUUCUUCUUAUUUCCUGGGAUAUGUUAAGAAAGAAGUAGCGCCUCUGCCUGUGCUCUUUUGUCUAUGGGACAUGGCUCGGCUGUUCAUGAUUUUCAAUUUCUUUCCCAGUGAAGCUUGGAAAAUAAAUUGGCUACAUCACUGUUUCCUAAAGUAAAGGACGUCGAAAUUCAAGAAAAAUAUCAUGAAUGAACUAUUGUCCCCACGGACUUAUUUCCUCAGAUCAAAUUUGUACAAAAUAGAAUAAAGAGAAGAAUUUAUUUUCUUUUUCCUGCGGAAAUGAAGGGACUCAAUCUAGUGCCAGCCAUUUAUCUAUCUUUAAAUUUCUCUAAAAACUUUUGUUUUGAUGAAAGUGAUUGAGAGAAAUUUCUAGAAGAUGGCAUGUUGCUUGUUACUUUUACAUAUUGUUAUUAUUAUUUGAAUACAUUUACUUGGUUCAACAAUCAAAAUUACGACAUACCUGAUUCCUGUAAGUAAUGCUCAUAUAUUCAUGGGUCAACUGAUAUGUCACUGCUAGUACCUUCACUCACUGAAGGUUUGUUGUGCUCUAACGAUAUGUAAUUGGAAUCAGUGAAGGGCUGUACAUUCAUAUUCUCUUAAUGAAAUCUUGUAGUUAUAGAUGCUCAUAUAGUGAGUGCAGAAUUUAUGGAGAUAACAUUAAUGAAGAUCUCCUACAUGAAUAUUUUCCUCCAAAUAUUAUGGUUAUAUAUAUAAAAAAUUGUAUUCCAUCAUCUCCUAAAUGUUAUAUGUUGGGCAGAUUUUAUUAAAUAAAAAUAUUUUUUUGUCUAUCUGCCUUGGUAUGUCUAGUUUCCGGGAGUUGUUUUUGUUGUCUGAGUACAUCAUGAAGAAUGUCUGUCAAAAUGUGUUGUAUAACACUUUCUCCUUUUUCUGUUUUAGGAUACAAAACCAUCAGAAAAUGUAGAGCAGUCAAAUACUUCUUUCAACCAAACGAGUUCCAGGGAUAAAGGAUGCAUUGGCAAGAUAUCCAAGGAGGAAAAGAUUAGAAAAAAAGGUUUUAAUGAACUCUUUCCUGAUGAUGACACCAGCCUUGAAGAUGUGAGCAACAAUAAUUCCCAUGAGAGUUUGUCAGACAGUGAAGACUCAGAUUCCCAAGAGCACAGUUCAGGAAAAUCUCAUGUCAAGGAAGCCAUUAGACAGAUGAAAUUAGAGAUGGAGGAGAACAGAUUUUAUUAUAUACCACCUAGUGUCAAGCGAAAAAGACUUGAUUAUAUUCACUAUGUGAGAAAGAGGGACGAAGGUGCGCUGACUUAUGUUGCUCAUGCUGAUUAUUACAUUUUGCUUCGGGCUUGUGCCAGGAUUGCACAAGUUGACAUUCGGAUUUUGCAUAUUGGUGUGUUGAGACUUGAGAGAAGACUUGCUUGGUUGGAAAAACGGAUUGAUCAAUGCUUACAUUCCAAACCAACUAGCAUUUCUUGUCAAUUUUGUUGUAAUAAGGCCACGGAAAAUGGAUCUGAUGGUCUUCCUGGAUUAUCAAAUUUGAAUAUUUGAGAAUUGAUAGUUUAACUUUAAGAAAUAGUAGAAUGGAGGAAGGAUGCUCCGAUUCCUUCUUUUUUUUUUCUUUUGAUUUUCAAUUAUUCAUACAAGAAUAAAUAUUAGGAAUAAGAUAAGAGGAUGAGAACCAAAGAAAAAUUAAAAAGGAUGAAACGACACUUGGUUUUUCAUAAUCAAUAAAUAUUUAGGUUAAUGAAAGUGUAGGGAGUUUCUUAUUGAGGACUAAUGGAGGUGUGUGUUUGAGUUUCAUCUGAUUGGGCAAGCUUCAUUGCCUUUUCGAGUUGCAAAUUAAAACCGGUGUCCUUCUGUCAAUUACGAUAUACAUUAUACAAUGACUUGGAAAGUAGAAUCGUUCAUUGACUUUCCAUGCUUGUCUCCAUUUCCGAGCAAUGUUGCUUGUCAGAGUUUCUGAUAAUAACAUGCUGCUUAUGGAUUCUCACAUGGGAAUUAGUAGUUUUUACUUGAGUUGGUUUAUGCAGUCACUUAGGAGGUUCUGUUGGAGUUAUUUAUUGAUCAAUUUAGCCUACAUAAUUGUCCUUCUUGGCAUAAUGCCAAAUUGAUUCUUUAUUAUGCGGGUCCCUUGUCUUAAUCUACUUUAAUCAAAACGUUUCCUUUAGAUUUUCAGUCACUAUUUGGAUGCCAAAAAAUUCAACUAGUUCUCCAUUUCAUCUAUUCUGAAAGCUACUUAAAACAAGAAUUGUAAAUAUAUUUUUAUGAAUUUUGAUACAAGUGUUGGUAGUAUUUCUAAUGCUAAUAUUUCGAAAGGAAAGUCUAACAUUACCUAGGUGAAGAGCCCUUGAAGUUUUAACACUUAUUUUUGGCUUGUAAGAACUUGCAGAGGAUUGAGCUUGUGUGCAUAAGUUCGGUCGAAGGGUGCCACAUUUGCACUCCAUUGCAUUUGCACCCGUCUCAGUGUUAACUUUCUCUGUUUUUUUCAUUCAUGUUCCAUAUCAAAUUAAUUAUGAUCUGUUAUAAAUCUCGUAAUUUUUGCUUAUUUGACAUUUUUGUUUCUGUUGCUUGUUAGAACUUGGAAGCUUUAUUUGAUAAAUUCUCACAGUGAAUAUUGUGUGAAGCAUAAUGUACCAAAAACAAAGUGUAUACUGUAUGAAGCAUUGUGUGAAUACUGAAGCAUUUUUUAGUACUUGUUUUCUGACUUGACUUGAUAUCAUUCAAUCAAUUGCAGGCUUGCCAUUAGCAGAUGCUCCAAAAAAAAUUAGUGGAGUUCAAAAGCGCUAUUGGAGAUACCUACCAAAUGUAGUAAAAGCAUUAGAAAGUUCAACAAACUUAACUAGUGCAGUAAACAGUGACUUUGGAUUUUUAGGUCAUGGACAUUAUCCCAUCCAUGCCUUUUCAAUUUGGCUUAGUUGUUUUCAACCAUGGUAUCAUUUUUUAGUCGAUCAUGUAAUAUUCCUUACGCAUUCAUACAAGGAGCUGAAUUCAGUUUCUUUCUUUUAGAUUUUUAAUUAAAUAAAUGAACUCUCGACCAUGAAACGUGCUUUGAGGGAGUAAUCUGGAUGGAUUUGGUUCUUACUUUCUUUGUGUUUGUCUUUGACCUAUUUUAUAUCCAUUCUAGUAAAUAACUAAAUCUAUAUAUUUAACAGGUUAGUUAUCAGUUGGUGUUUUGAUUGUAGAUAUGUACUUUGUGAAUGAACACAAUUUGGUAUCCAUAUCUUUCAGUGAUGCUCAUUUAAAUUCAUCUACGUACAUGAUCAAAAGUGCUUCUGUGAAGCUACAAAAAUAGUGAUCAAGAGACUGUACAUGCUAGCACAUGAAGAAAAAAUAGUGACACCUUGACUUUAUAAUAUGCUGAACCUGCAGUGCUUCGUUGAUCAGUUUCAGUUCACCUGAUAUGGGUUCACUAAUGCAACAGACACAAGGCCAACACAAGUCUUGUACUAUUGUCCUAAUUGGGUAUGAGUUGGGUAGUAAAAGUAUAUGUACUAGUGAUUGUCAUAAUAAAUAAAUAUCGACAACAUAAAAUUGUCUUAGAAGAGCUUCUCAGCAAUACCAAAUUCAACCAGCAAAUACUCCAAUGGAUCAUGCUGCUAUAUUCCUCCCAAAGAUCAUUUAAUGGGUUUUUUCAAUUUCAACACAUUUUUUAAUGGGUUUUUUCAUUGAUUGCCGAGAUUCAACCAUGUUUGUUAUAUAUUGAGACAUAAUCAAUCAAGUACACCACUCACAGCAGAAGGUUUAUAAGCUGUAAAGGUACAUGUAACCAUAAACAAAAAUAGUCUCCAAGACUAUAAAAACAUUACAUUUUAGACAAAUUAGUCUUCUUCCACUUCAUCCUCCGUCAACACCUACUAUAACUGCUGGUGUUGCUGCUGCCUAACAUGUAUCAUAUUCACUACAUACAUCUUAGUAGGAGUAGCCUUUGACGAACAACUCCUUCUUGGCUUCCUCGGAUUCACCCUCACCGGUGUACUUCCCAAGCUGGGCGAGCGAGUUGGACUUGGCACGGAAAAGGAGUGCAUCUUGUGCCGCCUUCACGUUCUCUGGGCGGCCUCCCCAUGUCUUCAAGGCAGUGUUUUGGAGGGCUCUGGCAUACGAGAACGACACGUGCCACGGGUUUGGAGAUUGGUUCAUGGCAUUCAAGUUGAGGGUAGCUUCAACCUCAGACUGUCCACCAGACAAAAACUGCAUAGCACAGGAUUGGUUAAUUAGCACAUGAAAGGGAGGGAAGUUAGGAAUGCAAAGAAUGAUGAUGCAUUUGGCAUUACCAUAAUUCCAGGGACAGCAGGGGGAAUUCUCCUGUGAAGGAGCUUGAGGGUGUAAUCAGCAACUGUCUGAGGACUGGCCUUGUCCUUGGACUCAGCUCCAGGUGUAACCAUGCUAGGCUUAAGAAGAAUACCCUCAAAAAGGACAUUGUUCUCAGCAAGGUAGAAGAAAACCUCUGCCCAGACCUUUUUUGCUACUUCAAAAGUUCUGUCAAUACCAUGCUCCCCAUCAAGCAAGAUCUCUGGUUCCACAAUUGGGACCAAUCCAUUGUCCUAAAACAACCAUAAGAUGAAAACAUUAGAAAUUUAUAGGUCCUCUUCCUAGGUUUAUAUAAAAAAAAGUAUCCUACCACACAUCACCUAUGAAUAGAAGUGUAACAAAAAAUAAAAUCAUUAAUAUAACUUAAGUGCUAUUUCUCACCUGAGCAAUUGCUGCAUAGCGAGCCAGACCCCAGGCAGCUUCCUUAACUGCCAGAGCAGAGGGACCGUUGGGGAUGCUCACAACAGUACGCCUGAUAUGGAAUUGGGGAUUGGUAUAAUAUGAUGAAAAAGAUGAGCAAGAAGUACAGCACAAGAAAAGGAGGGCAUGGAAUUAUGAAAAUGAUUUUGCUGCCACCACAAAGGGGGGGAAGUUAGCACUCACCAUUUGGCGAAACGGGCACCUUGCUGGUAGUAUGCAGCCGAGCGAGAGGCAAGACCAUCAAGACCUUGGCACCAUGACUCGUCGUUGGAACCAGCAAGGGGUACCAAACCCUGUUGUUCUCGACACAUAAACCACACAUUAGUGCAUACAAUGUUAUACAUAUUCAAAUUCUCCCUUUUGAGUUUAACUUCAAAAUUUUCACUAUUAUAGACUACAAAAAGCUAAUCUCCAGUAUGUUACAACUAACUAGUGUUUAUGUGAGGCAUGUGACAUCUUUCCAUAUGGCCACUCUAACAAAUAUCUGGAUGAUUGAUAGUACAAUUAAACAUAAGUACAUAUCAUAUUGGCAUCAAAACUAGUGCUUAUUCUUUUCCAUUAUCAUUUCAGGCAUGGCACAGACUGAAAUGGCAUUUAACUACAUAGAAAGGAAAGGGAAGGAUAGGGUGACUCCUAAAUCCAAAAGGCUUACCUUGUCGACUUUAAUACCGGGAACAAUGUUUUGCUCGAGGAGCACGUCGACAAUCUUCCUGCCAUCAGUUGUGGAUUGGUAGAGAGUUUCCUCAAAGAGAAUGGCACCAGAGAUGUACUGACCAAGUCCUGGAACUGUCACAAGGAGGGUACGGUAUGCCUGGCGGUUAGCUUCAGUGUUCUCUAGCCCAAUUGAAGCCAAACGCUUCCCACAGGUAGCAUUGGACUCAUCCAUGGCCAAAAUACCCCUCCCUGGUGAAGCCACUGUUUUCUGUUUCCACACAAACAAGCAAGAAAACGCACAGCAAAAUAUUAUUGCAUCAACAAUGUGAAAACCAUUACUUAGGGGGCAAACUAGGACAGCAAAGAUUUAUUUGGCUUCUAAGAUAAAGAGAACAUACUUCAGCGAAUAAAGUGUGGUUAUAAUUGAUGAUUAGAAAAUUUUCAUAAUCACUACUUAUGCAUGUAUUUAAUCAUAAUCUCAAUUGUGACAAUUAUAACUACACUUUAUCCUCUAAAUUUUUACAAAGCCAAUGUGAAAACAAAAAUAACUCAGCAGCGCUAAGAAGAAAAUGGAUUAUGGGUGUGAAAUGAAUAGUUCAAUUAAGUUUUGUUACAAGAAACUUUUAAUAUUUGAAUCUUAAAAACUUUUCCAUAAGUACUUGAGAAGCUAAAUUGAACAUAUUCAGUUUCUCUAUAAGCUAAAAUGAACUUAUGCUUGCUUGUUAACUUUUGAAGAAAUUAAAUGGGAAAGCCUAAUAUGUAUAAAAGUUAAGUGCAUUAUUAUUAUCAUACCGCGGUCUUAACGAGCUCAUCAGCAUAGGAACCAGCUCUGAUGGUGAGGCCUGAUGGGGUGGUGGGGUUGCAUCUCACAACUGAUGCAGCAGAAGGUUGGCGAAGUGUUUGUCCCUUCACCCACUCAGACUUGUCAAGAACAAGUGAAGACUUGAGAAGAGAUGCUGAUGCAGAGGCCAUUGUUCACUGCAGGU
This 13986-nucleotide long non-coding RNA is filed under the name Glycine max (soybean). RNAcentral's name for it is "long non-coding RNA (GMAX_LNC002434)". Lineage: Eukaryota; Viridiplantae; Streptophyta; Magnoliopsida; Fabales; Fabaceae. The record is from RNAcentral.